This 1050-nucleotide ribosomal RNA is filed under the name Triticum aestivum (bread wheat). Its description in RNAcentral is "partial small subunit ribosomal RNA". Lineage: Eukaryota; Viridiplantae; Streptophyta; Magnoliopsida; Poales; Poaceae. The record is from RNAcentral.
GCCAAGUUUCCUUUUAUAGCUAAUGUUGGGAUCGAUUCUCAGCCUAAGCGUAACACUAAGGUGACCUCAUGAACAAUUUAAUCGAAGGAAUAGAAGUACACAAAGGCAUCAAUACUUACACACUACACAAGCAAACAGCCAAGCCCACCAUGCCUCCACCAACGAUAGCAACGUCGAGCUCAUCAUCUUAAACUUUCACACCGCCAACCUUCUCAGUGCGAUCCUACAUGUCAACACACAGAUUCACCAUCAGUUACACGAGUUUGGAAUGAAACCUCAAUCAAUCUCAUAACUCGCAGCGCCCUGAAUGAGCCAUUUCUCUUAACACUAUGGGGUGACAACAUAGGUGAUUACAGGGGAGAAAACUACCUGUGAAUUGGCCACCCCCGCCAGCGCUCCGUUGACCCACGCCUCCUUUCAAAGCAGCUGCUGGUGCACAAGCCGGAGGUGUACAUGCCCUUGUCGCCGAGUUCGCCGCCCGCCGUGUGUAGCGCCGCCUCCGCUCGCCUGACUCAAGCUCAAUGCUAUCGUCGCCGAGUUUACCGCCCGCCGCACGUAGCGCCGCCUCCACUCGCCUGGCUCAAGCUCGACGCCCUCGUCGUCGAGUUCUCUGCCCGCCCUCGGAGACGGCACAGCCCGCUCGUCUCCGCCGCUUGACACCACGAUGUUGGUCCCAGUGGAGCUGCGAGACAGUGAACUACUUUCCUGGUCUCCGCCGCCACCUGCCUCGUCUCCGACGUCACCGCCGCAUGGUCGCUCUCCUGAGUGUGCUGGGUGGGAUGUAGAAUGGGCGGUGGGGGAAGAGGAUAAGAUCUGACAGGCGUUCGUGACGAGGCGUUUAUUUUCCGAACAAAAAAAGGGUGACAUGGCUGAUCUCCCUGCUCUAAUAUUCGUGCUAACGAUCCUACGGCGCAAAACUAAGUUACUGAGAACAAAGUAAUAGGACACCGAUAUCUCCCGAUCGUUCGGGAUGGGAGGGGAGUGGACCGAACGAAUUGUUUAGUGCACCAGGGCACUACGACCGAACGGGUUUCGUUCGUUACGAUGUCC